Molecule: ribosomal RNA, 499 nt
Filed under: uncultured bacterium
Lineage: Bacteria
Description: bacterial SSU rRNA
Rfam family: Bacterial small subunit ribosomal RNA
Source: RNAcentral
AUGAACGCUAGCGGCAGGCUUAACACAUGCAAGUCGAGGGGCAGCGGGAUGUAGCAAUACAUUGCCGGCGACCGGCGGAUGGGUGCGUAACGCGUAUGCAACCUACCUUAUACAGGGGAAUAACCUUUCGAAAGGGAGACUAACACCCCAUAGUAUUGAUUUAAGGCAUCUUAGAUUAAUUAAAUAUUUAUAGGUAUAAGAUGGGCAUGCGUAUGAUUAGCUAGUUGGUAAGGUAACGGCUUACCAAGGCGACGAUCAUUAGGGGUUCUGAGAGGAAGGUCCCCCCACACUGGUACUGAGACACGGACCAGACUCCUACGGGAGGCAGCAGUGAGGAAUAUUGGUCAAUGGGCGCAAGCCUGAACCAGCCAUGCCGCGUGCAGGAAAAGACGGCCUUAUGGGUUGUAAACUGCUUUUACAUAAGACUAACCGUAUAUUUGCGAAUAUACCUGAAUGUAUUAUGAGAAUAAGGAUCGGCUAACUCCGUGCCAGCCGCAGC